GCAAUAGUAGCUUACAAAGAGCAUUGGUCUUGUAAGCCAAAGGUGGCAAAAUACUCCCUAUUGCU
Molecule: transfer RNA, 65 nt
Filed under: Neptuneopsis gilchristi
Lineage: Eukaryota; Metazoa; Mollusca; Gastropoda; Neogastropoda; Volutidae
Description: tRNA-Thr
Rfam family: tRNA
About the family: Transfer RNA (tRNA) molecules are approximately 80 nucleotides in length. Their secondary structure includes four short double-helical elements and three loops (D, anti-codon, and T loops). Further hydrogen bonds mediate the characteristic L-shaped molecular structure. tRNAs have two regions of fundamental functional importance: the anti-codon, which is responsible for specific mRNA codon recognition, and the 3' end, to which the tRNAs corresponding amino acid is attached (by aminoacyl-tRNA synthetases). tRNAs cope with the degeneracy of the genetic code in two manners: having more than one tRNA (with a specific anti-codon) for a particular amino acid; and 'wobble' base-pairing, i.e. permitting non-standard base-pairing at the 3rd anti-codon position.
Source: RNAcentral